This is a long non-coding RNA of Crotalus tigris (Tiger rattlesnake), 1868 nucleotides long. RefSeq lists it as uncharacterized. The transcript has 2 exons. The record is from RefSeq and is a predicted model, not a curated record. Lineage: Eukaryota; Metazoa; Chordata; Lepidosauria; Squamata; Viperidae.
GUGAAUCUAGCUUCCCCCAUUAACUUGGCUUGUCAGAAGCCAGCUGAGAAAGUUAGAAAUGGUGUUUACGUGAUCCCAGGGCAGUGCAACUAUCAUUAAAUACAUGCAGUUACCAAGAACCAGAAUUUUGAUCACGUGACACUGGAGAUGCUGCAACAGUUGUGUGAAAACUGGUCAUAAGUCACUUUUUUCAGUGAAUUUUGACCGGUCAUUAAACAAUUGGUUGUAAGUUCAGUACUAUUAUCAAAAAAGUGGGACAGGAAGAAUAAACAUAUCCUCAGGUAAGAAUCAUGAAAGCAAGGUGGAAUAGAUUAGGUUCAGGAAAAUACUUUUUCCAGAAGUCAGCAAAGCUUCACAAAUUCUCUUAUGCACAUCUCUUGGGAUGUGUUUAGUCUCACCUUAACUGUUCUGAACUCAGCCAAACCACUACUAAACCAACUUUAGUUAGCUUGCUGUGCCCAAGCCAGCCAAGAGUGGCAGAGUCUUCUAAAACAAACCUGGGCUUUACAACAAUGUGUGAACCCUAACAUUUAAUUACGUCACUGGCCAUGUAAUCAGCCCAACCUUCCUUUGUGCGACUUGCUGGCAACGAAGAAAGGUUGUAGUUUUAAAAGCCGCCUUCGCGAAAUCUGCUAAAGGUUCACCCUUUCUAUUUCAUCCUUGCUUGAGGAGGGUACUUCCGACCGCUCGCGUGCCUUUUGAUUCCGUUGAAGUCCAGGUUGUACUUCCUCUCUUUCUGCGCCCUCCCGCGCGCCGAGUAAAGAACGCUUAAAGCGGGCGGAGGGAGAAGAAAAGGAAGAAGCCGCCGAGCGCGGUUAAAUCUCCUCCCCUCGCCCAUAGGUUGGACUCAAGCGGGGGCCACCGUACCUUGGAAAGGAGCAGGCAAAAAAAGACGAGACAGUGACCCAGCAGUUCGCUCUAUGUAAGAGUGCCUGCUGAUGGGGUUUACAACCGUACCAGGAUGGCCGAGUGGUUAAGGCGUUGGACUUAAGAUCCAAUGGACGCAUGUCCGCGUGGGUUCGAACCCCACUCCUGGUAGUUGGUUUUUUUCUGCCUCGGUCUUCUUAAAUUAAAGAGGAAACGGAUAAACUACGUAGAAGACAUCAGGUGAGGCUUCUGCCUUUGAACGGACGCCCAGCAGGACUGAGCCGCCAUUUGAGCGAAUCCUCCACCGUCCCCUGCUUGGUGCCUCUUCUCUGCCGCGAUAACUGAAAGCAACGCCAGUCUGGGUUGCACGAAAAUGAAAUCGUGUCAUUUUCACGAGGCUCCACGUAAAUAUAUGAACGAAACCGCUCCUCUUCCCCCCACUCCCCAUCGUCCUCCCCCACUCCGUGGCUCAGCUCAGUGCAAAGCGCGGCGGAUGGGGGUGCAGAAACCACCAAUUUUAAAGUGUCAAUACUGUACAAUUUGAAGAGGAAGUGAUCUGGGGGGUGGGUGGAGGGUGGCCAAGGAAUUGUUUAUUCCGGCGAUCUUCAGUUGUGUUGGACUGCAAAUACCAUAAUCUCUGACAAGCCCAACUACCCGUAAUCUAAUUUCAUCUGAAGAGCAUCAGAACAGAGACGAACGAUUUUCUUACAGAAUCUCGAGAAAGAUACUUUACAUUUCAUUACCCAAACCAGGUAACAUCAUCAUCAGUGCUUAGGCGAUAUCCCACAUCAAAGAGGCUGUCAUGUCUCUAACAAAGGCCUCCUGCCUCAGAAGUUUUUUAUGUUGGAAACAUUUUACUUUGAACUCCUGGCUGACCUUGUCAGAUCUGCAAAAAAUAAUGACGGUGGAAUUUGAUCGUGUUCAUUAUAUUGUGUUAUAUUGUACAUAUAUAUGCUUUAUCAUAUGUUAUUAUGUAAAUAAAAUGAUGACAUGUAUCAUAA